UCGGCCCGAAAGCUCUAGAAUGCACCCCUAUUCCUCCCCGGGGCCAUUCCCGCUCAACGAGUUUUAUGACCUAAAAAACCCCACAGGCUGGUCUGAAGAGGAAGACACUUAAAGAUGAAGUGCUUAAUUCAAGGUCACAGAAUGUCGGGGAUGGACCUCCAGAUUUCCUUACUGGAAAACAAGCUCAGGGCUCCCACUGAUUGUACAUUAUGACUUUUAAGUCUUUACGUUUUAGUAAUCUUGGGUAUAUUCACAUUUUGUGCAACAGAUCUCCAGAACUUUUUCACCUUGCAAAACUGAAACUCUGUACCCGUUAAACAACAACUUUUCUUGCCCUA
RNAcentral lists this non-coding RNA (338 nucleotides) under Pongo abelii (Sumatran orangutan). Lineage: Eukaryota; Metazoa; Chordata; Mammalia; Primates; Hominidae. The record is from RNAcentral.